AGUACGCCUAGGUACGUCUCAAACGGAUCAACUAUAGCAGCUCAUGGUGAUGAAGUUAGUUUGGCUUUAUCCACUGAAGAUAAAUAUGACGACGACGGUUCUUUUGUUGGAGAAUACUCGGAUAUGACUUCGACAAAGAAAUACGAGGAAAUUUUCGUCUGAUAUUUUUCAUCAUGCAUCAUGAAUCAGUGCGGAGUUCAACACAAAUGACCUCAGGUGAAAUAGCGGAUGGCCAGAAAUUUAUGCUACUAUAGCUAGGAUGUAGAAAAUUAGCAAAUGCAUGCUAUAAUCAUUGAUAUGUACGUAUCAAUGGCAAUGAUGAUCUUAUACGAUGUACUGGACUCUAAACCGCCUGGUUUUCUGGUAACCGCCUGGUCAUGUACCUUCCAAGCUAGUAAUAGUAUAUGAUAGUAACAUAAGUUCCAGUAGUAUUUUGUGGUCUUGAUAGUUUGCUUAAUAAUAAAAAUAAGCAAGUUUCAAUGCAAAUGAACAUUUCAGAAAAAACGGAAUGGAGUUUCUUACAGAAGGCGGUUCGUGCAUGAAGGCGGUUGUUGUUCGCUGUUUUAUACGUCGAAUUUCGGUCGCGUCGAAUGCAAUUCAAACAAUAGAUAGAAGCUUAAUGAGGUUUAUCAUCUCAAUAGAAGCUUAAUGAGGUUUAUCAUCUCAUUAUCUAUUGUCUUAAUUGCAUUCGACGCGACCAAAAUUCGACGUAUAAAACGGGCCUGAAACUCGAGUUGUUUGUGUGUUUAAAUUAAUGUAUGAUGUAAACCGUACGUGUAGAUUUUGGGCAAUGCCUGUAUACAGCCAAUUCAAAAAAGGUCGUCCUUUGCAAACCUUAAACUCUAAACCUUAAACUCCAAGCGCGCAAAGCUUAAUGGGAGCACAAGUUUCAAGCUUAGUAGUUGAAUAUUACAGCUAUUUGUGAACGAAUUGUUCUCGUAAGAAGAUAUUUACCAUGUCUCUAAGAAAUGGGCCCCACAUAUGAUUUCCAAACUGAUUAAAUGUGCUCCCAUCAUGCUUUGCACGCUUAGAAUUUAAGGUUUAAAGUUUGCAAAGAACAACCUUUUCUGAAUUAGUGUACAUGUAUAAACCUUUAAACUAACAUAUUUUAAAGAUCAUUUGCCCAUGGGCAUGGCAAUGCAGCAUAUUUUUAACGAUUCAAUAAUUAACAAUUAUUGAAUGAGGUUGAGCACAAUAUGGAGAAUUAUCAAGCCCGAAGUUUGCCGUUAUCAACCGAAGCCGAAGGCUGAGGUUGAUAACGGCAAACUGAGGGCUUGGUAAUUCUUCAUAUUGUGCGAAAACCGAAUUCAAUAAUUGUUUUAUUUAUUUAAAAAAUUCAAAACAAACGGUCAUCUAUUUGUUCGCCCACGUCACGUUAUAAACCAGGAAAAGAAUUAAGAAACUGAGUGUUCUUACCUAUUCUAGAAGCCUUUGUUGAUCUUUUUGUAUUUCCAGUAAUUUUUGAAUUUCGGCUUCGCCAAGGUUUGCAAACCUUUCAGUGGAAGAAGCCAUUUGUAUUUUAUUUGUAUUAAGACUGAAAAAACAAUUCCUUAGUCCUUCGGCAGCCGUCGUCGUCAUAGCAAUGGCGUCAGCGAGUCAAUAUGAUUCUCGUUGUCAUAGUAAUAUGGCGCAAACGCGUCCAAUUUUUUUUCAUAUUGACUCUUUGACGUCAUUUUGCUAUUAUGAAUGUGAAAAAUCCGUAUUUGGUUAGCCAUUGAGUUGAUAUGACAAUUUCACAGUUGGCUGUUGGCCAAUCAGAAACCAGGAAUUUUUUAAAUAAAUAAUAACAACAAUUGGCAACAUAAGCUCUUCGACUAACCUCGAAAAUUCUUUACACUUCGUCGGAAUAAAAUCACUCCUGGCACGACUGAUACUUUUCUGAGUUCGGACGAUGUAGGGGAACUUGAAAAACAAGAUUUUUUAGAUUUAGUAUUUUAGACACGAACAUAUAUACUAUUAUACAGAUGUAACAUAUAAUUUGUAGUAUUUUGUAAUUUAUUACUAUAUUAUAAUAUAUAAUAUAUAAUUUAAAUUAAUGAAUGUGAAGAG
This is a non-coding RNA of Paramuricea clavata, 2049 nucleotides long. The record is from the annotation of a GenBank genome assembly. NCBI's taxonomy places the organism in Eukaryota, Metazoa, Cnidaria, Anthozoa, Malacalcyonacea, Plexauridae.